AUGAACGCUGGCGGCGUGCCUAAUACAUGCAAGUCGAGCGAACAGACGAGGAGCUUGCUCCUCUGACGUUAGCGGCGGACGGGUGAGUAACACGUGGAUAACCUACCUAUAAGACUGGGAUAACUUCGGGAGACCGGAGCUAAUACCGGAUAAUAUAUUGAACCGCAUGGUUCAAUAGUGAAAGACGGUUUUGCUGUCACUUAUAGAUGGAUCCGCGCCGCAUUAGCUAGUUGGUAAGGUAACGGCUUACCAAGGCAACGAUGCGUAGCCGACCUGAGAGGGUGAUCGGCCACACUGGAACUGAGACACGGUCCAGACUCCUACGGGAGGCAGCAGUAGGGAAUCUUCCGCAAUGGGCGAAAGCCUGACGGAGCAACGCCGCGUGAGUGAUGAAGGUCUUCGGAUCGUAAAACUCUGUUAUUAGGGAAGAACAAAUGUGUAAGUAACUAUGCACGUCUUGACGGUACCUAAUCAGAAAGCCACGGCUAACUACGUG
This 496-nucleotide ribosomal RNA is filed under the name uncultured bacterium. RNAcentral describes it as "partial 16S ribosomal RNA". It matches the Rfam family "Bacterial small subunit ribosomal RNA", at positions 29 to 507 of the family's 1533-position model. The record is from RNAcentral.